GGAAACAGGUGCUAAUACCGUAUAACACUAUUUUCCGCAUGGAAGAAAGUUGAAAGGCGCUUUUGCGUCACUGAUGGAUGGACCCGCGGUGCAUUAGCUAGUUGGUGAGGUAACGGCUCACCAAGGCCACGAUGCAUAGCCGACCUGAGAGGGUGAUCGGCCACACUGGGACUGAGACACGGCCCAGACUCCUACGGGAGGCAGCAGUAGGGAAUCUUCGGCAAUGGACGAAAGUCUGACCGAGCAACGCCGCGUGAGUGAAGAAGGUUUUCGGAUCGUAAAACCCUGUUGUUAGAGAAGAACAAGGAUGAGAGUAAAAUGUUCAUCCCUUGACGGUAUCUAACCAGAAAGCCACGGCUAACUACGUGCCAGCAGCCGCGGUAAUACGUAGGUGGCAAGCGUUGUCCGGAUUUAUUGGGCGUAAAGCGAGCGCAGGCGGUUUCUUAAGUCUGAUGUGAAAGCCCCCGGCUCAACCGGGGAGGGUCAUUGGAAACUGGGAGACUUGAGUGCAGAAGAGGAGAGUGGAAUUCCAUGUGUAGCGGUGAAAUGCGUAGAUAUAUGGAGGAACACCAGUGGCGAAGGCGGCUCUCUGGUCUGUAACUGACGCUGAGGCUCGAAAGCGUGGGGAGCGAACAGGAUUAGAUACCCUGGUAGUCCACGCCGUAAACGAU
Molecule: ribosomal RNA, 671 nt
Filed under: uncultured bacterium
Lineage: Bacteria
Description: bacterial SSU rRNA
Rfam family: Bacterial small subunit ribosomal RNA
Source: RNAcentral